RNAcentral lists this ribosomal RNA (465 nucleotides) under uncultured bacterium. RNAcentral's name for it is "partial 16S ribosomal RNA". It matches the Rfam family "Bacterial small subunit ribosomal RNA", at positions 338 to 795 of the family's 1533-position model. The record is from RNAcentral.
CCUACGGGUGACAGCAGUGGGGAAUAUUGCGCAAUGGGCGAAAGCCUGACGCAGCGACGCCGCGUGAGGGAUGAAGGUCUUCGGAUCGUAAACCUCUGUCAGCAGGGAAGAACGGUCACUGUGCUAAUCAGCAGUGAAUUGACGGUACCUGCAAAGGAAGCACCGGCUAACUCCGUGCCAGCAGCCGCGGUAAGACGGAGGGUGCGAGCGUUAAUCGGAAUUACUGGGCGUAAAGCGCUCGUAGGCGGUAUGUCAAGUCAAGGGUGAAAUCCCCGCGCUCAACGUAGGAACUGCCUUUGAAACUGGCAGACUGGAGUGUGUGAGAGGAUAGUGGAAUGCCAGGUGUAGGAGUGAAAUCCGUAGAUAUCUGGAGGAACAUCAGUGGCGAAGGCGAAUAUCUGGCACAUAACUGACGCUGAGGAGCGAAAGCGUGGGUAGCAAACAGGAUUAGAUACCCUUGUAGUC